RNAcentral lists this ribosomal RNA (506 nucleotides) under uncultured bacterium. RNAcentral describes it as "bacterial SSU rRNA". It matches the Rfam family "Bacterial small subunit ribosomal RNA", at positions 19 to 518 of the family's 1533-position model. The record is from RNAcentral.
CUGGCUCAGGAUGAACGCUAGCGACAGGCCUAACACAUGCAAGUCGAGGGGCAGCGCGGGAGAAGCUUGCUUUCCUGGCGGCGACCGGCGCACGGGUGCGUAACAGGUGUGCAAUCUGUCCAUAGUCGGGGGAUAGCCCAGCGAAAGCUGAAUUAAUACUCCAUGUGAAUCGAAGCCGCAUGACUUUGAUUUGAAACGCAAGGACUAUGGGUGAGCACGCUUCUGAUUAGGUAGUUGGUGGGGUAACGGCCCACCAAGCCGACGAUCAGUAGGGGUUCUGAGAGGAAGGUCCCCCACAUUGGAACUGAGACACGGUCCAAACUCCUACGGGAGGCAGCAGUGAGGAAUAUUGGUCAAUGGGCGAGAGCCUGAACCAGCCAAGUCGCGUGAAGGAUGAAGGUUCUAUGGAUUGUAAACUUCUUUUGUCCGAGGGUAAAAAAGGCCACGUGUGGCUUCUUGCAAGUAUCGGACGAAUAAGCAUCGGCUAACUCCGUGCCAGCCGCGGC